AUGAACACCCCACGGUACUUCUUUGGGUCAGCAAGUGUCGGUGAAAAGGCAUAUGUCGCGGGAGGCGUCGAUUCUUCGUUUCAGGCAUUGAGCUGCGCAGAGAUGUAUGACUCGGAGACACAUACUUGGACACCCCUUCCCAGCAUGAAUAGGGCUAGGAGAAAAUGUUCUGGUGCGUUCAUGGACGGCAAGUUCUAUGUGAUCGGUGGUAUUAGCAGUAGAAGGGAGCUAUUGACAUGUGGUGAGGAGUAUGACUUGAACCGGCGGUCAUGGAGGGUCAUCCACAACAUGUCUCAGGGGCUCAACCAGACAUACCUGGGAGCUCCUCUGCUCCUUGCAGUUGUGAAGAAUGAGCUUUAUGCUGCAGAUUACAGUGAGAAUAAUGGUUUGAAGCAGUAUGAUAAGAUGGACAACAAGUGGAUCACUCUUGGAAAAUUGCCUGUACUGUCUACAAAAGAAGGCUGGGACAUGGGUUUCCGAGCGUGUGGUGACCGGCUGAUUGUUAUUGGGCGUCCAAACAAUUCUAGUGACGAAAAGGUGGUUGAGCUUCAUUCAUGGACCCCGGAUGGGCAACCACCUCUGUGGAAUUUGGUUGCCACACGGCCAUUCUUGGGCGGAUUUUUUAAAUGCGCGGUGAUGGGUUGCUGA
RNAcentral lists this ribosomal RNA (648 nucleotides) under Triticum aestivum (bread wheat). RNAcentral's name for it is "partial small subunit ribosomal RNA". Lineage: Eukaryota; Viridiplantae; Streptophyta; Magnoliopsida; Poales; Poaceae. The record is from RNAcentral.